Molecule: long non-coding RNA, 3345 nt
Filed under: Homo sapiens (human)
Lineage: Eukaryota; Metazoa; Chordata; Mammalia; Primates; Hominidae
Description: HSALNT0110154
Source: RNAcentral
GCGAGACUCUGUGGGGGUAGGACCCUCUGAGCCACGUGCCGGAUAUAAUCUCGUGGUGCGCCGUUUUUUUAAGCCGUUCGGAAAAGCACAGUAUUCGGGUGGGAGUGACCCGAUUUUCCAGGUGCGUCUGUCACCCCUUUCUUUCACUCAGAAAGGGAACUCCCUGACCCCUUGCGCUUCCCAAGUGAGGCAAUGCCUCGCCCUGCUUCGGCUCGCGCACGGUGCGCGCACCCACUGACCUUCGCCCACUGUCUGCCACUCCCAAGUGAGAUGAACCCGGUACCUCAGAUGGAAAUGCAGAAAUCACCUGUCUUCUGCGUCGCUCACGCUGGGAGCUGUAGACUGGAGCUGUUCCUAUUCGGCCAUCUUGGCUCCUCUCAGAUGAUAAAAUUCAGGCCAAGAGAAGCAAAGACAGCAAAGACUGACAUAAAAAAGAAACAACAAAAACAACUCUUGUUAAUGAUGUAGAAUUAAUCUGAAUUCUCCAAAAACCUGCCUCUUUUGGAGGACUCCUUAUUGCUGCUGCCAUGGGAAGAAGGAUGUGUUCGCUUCUCCACUACUGUGGUUGUAAAUUUUCUGAAACCUCCACAGCCAUGCUGAACUGGAUCAUUGAAGUAGCAGUGGCAACGAUGUUAUGAAAGUUCCAUGGACGUCAGAGAUCCAGGAUCUUCUUGUUUCCUCACCACCAUCAUCAACUUCUCUGUCUUUUUUGCAUCCCACUGCUUGUAUUCAAUUUGAAAACGGCUUGCAUUCUUGGAAGGUAAAGGGAUAAGAAGCUGUGAAGGUUACGUAAUGGAGAUGAAAGGCAAGCUACAGGAAGUGAAAUUGGCAAUUCUUCUUGGUCCCUGUUUGGGAAAAUGUGAAUCUCAUCCUCUCAGUUUCUAGUUUGACAGACUAUAAGAAGGGACAUACCUAACAAAGAAUACAUCUUGCAGAUUGCUACAUAAAGAGUAAGUACAUUGACAAAUAUUAUGUACUUAAAAUAUAUACAGCUCUGUACUUAGCAUGCCACAUAGAAUUCCUUAAUAUUCCUCUUAACAGCUGUACAAGUUAACUUGACUUUUAUACGCAUUAUACACAUGAAAAAAAUGAGAUGAGAAAGGCCAAAUAAAAUGAAUGAAUGAAUGAAUGAGUUUUUAAAAUUUAUUUUGACAUGAGAGCCAAUCCUAUCAGCCUUGCUGAUUUCUUCAAAAUACUUGCAAAUAAGUUGCUAUAAUAUAAAAACAUCUUCUUAUUGUUUCUCUCUCCUUAAGGAUUUCUCUGAGACAUUUCUAAUAUUUAAAUCUUUUUUCCCAUAGGUUGUCUUUCACGGUACUUUGUAUACACUACUUUGGGUUCAUAUGCCUCAAGUGAAAAAUUGGUCUAAUAACAUUAAUACCUCUGUCACAACCCCAUUGCACAUGAUCAGUUCUAAUAAUGGGUUUUAAAGUAAUUUUGUUUUAUUUUAAAUUACUAUUCAGAUAUCAGUCACUAUGACAUCAGACUUUUUACUCUCUGUGAUAGUUAUAUAUCAACUUAGCUGGAGUAUAGUAUCAAGUUAUUCAAUAAAACACUAAUCUAGGUGUCACUGUGAAGGGAUUUUGUAGAUAUGAUUAACAUCUACAUUUAGUUGACACUAAGUAAAGGAGAUUUUCCUUGAUAAUGUGGUCAAGCCUCAUCCAAUCAAUUGAAAGGCCUGAGCUUUUCUAGAGGAAGAAGUAAUUUUAUCUCAGGACUCCAGCAUUAGCUACUGCUGGACAAUCCCAGCAUCCCAACCUGCCCAACAGAUUUUAGACUAGACUUACCACCUCAUAUGAGCACAUAGCAGAUUCCCAGAAAUCAAUCUAUCUACCUAUGUAUCUAUCAAUCUAUCAUCUCUCUCCUACUGCUUCUGUUUCUGUAGAUGACACUGACAGAUGUGAAUAUUCACAUAAAAGCUGUCAAUAUGCAUGUUCCUUCCUACUACUUGUACCAAUUAAGCAAAGAGUGUAACGGAUGCAUAUUUUUCUAAAGAAUUUCUGUAUGUGUUCUCCGAUUAUUGGUCAGAAAUAAAAAUAUGUUUAUAAUGCAAAAUUCAUAAAAUGUGUAUAAAUGAUAAUGUAUAUGCCUAUAUAAGUGUGUGUUUUUCUGUGUAUACAUAUAUGUAUAUAUGAGUGUGUGUGUAUGUGUGUGCAUUUUUUUGUAACUGAUACUGUGGCCUUUUAUAUCUACCAAAAUCCAGGACUAGUUUAGAAAAGAAAUUACAGCAGCAUUCUAAAAUUUACUUGUUUGAUAUAAAUAUAUUUUUGUAACUUUUUUUGCCUGACAUUUGUGCUGUAAAUCAAAAGUACUUUUGUGAAAGCAAUUUUUUUAAACAAUCUUCUCUGAAAUUGUGUAGGAGGAAGUGAAUCGCUACCACUCAAUCCUGACAUUAAUUCAACAGACACAUAUUUUGAUUUCUGAAGAAUUAUGGAAACAUUCUUUCAGAAGAGAACAAUGAAAGAUAGCAUUCUGUGUUUAGCACAUUUCCCCUUUCCAAGUGGCAGUGGAGCGUUGUAACAGCAAAGUAAAUUGCUUCUUAUUUCUAUGUGCUUUUUAAAACUGUGACACUGACUGAGCUGAACCACCAAGACCACAUCUGUACACAGCUAAAUAAAAGGUUUUACAUGAUGGCAAAACUGGGCAGAAUUAAUUUGUCCUUGGAUGUACUGAUGAUUGCAAUGCUUACACCACUGCUUUAUACACAGUAGGGUAACACUCAGAGUACUAUCAUGAAAUUCAGUUUUUAAUUUAAAAGAUUUUGAAAAAAGGACUCAUUACACAGGUAUGGCCAAGAUGAAGAGACACAGAAACGUCUGAUUGUAUACUGUAGCAUUAGUGACAGAUUGCCUGAGCAAGAAGUGAGAAAAAUAUUACUGAAGCCUCAGAGAGUUUGAAGCUUUAGAAAUAAAGCUGCCUAGCAAGAAUUGCAACCAUAGAAUAUAGUCAUUGCCCCAGAUUGAAGCAAGGCAAGGACAGGGGUUUGUUAGGAGUGAUGAAUACCUUGAUCUUUCUCUGUUCCAGCCAGCCCUCUAAUUUUCUGUGAUACUACUGGCCAAACCCAAUCAGAGGCUAAAAUUCAAGUGAUAUUGGGUGAUACGUGUGUAGGGCCAAAACUCCUUGAAAACAGAACAGGGAAGGGCUUGGAACAAUGGAGUUUCAAGGAGAGUAGCAAAUUAACAUAGUAGACAUACAAUCUAUAAGUUCGAGUUGAGGGCAGAAAUCAGUCUAGGCUGUUCAAUGGUAUGAAGUCAGGAACAAGGAUCAUACUUCUGAGCCAUAUGGAGGUAAGAUGCUAGAGGGAGAUGGUAAGUAAGCUACUAUUUUUUCCACUUAUGUAAGUAGAAA